CAGGGAAUCUUGCGCAAUGGACGGGAGUCCGACGCAGCGACGCCGCGUGGGUGAAGACGGCCUUCGGGUUGUAAAGCCCUUUUCUGGGGGAAGAGAGAGGACGGUACUCCAGGAAUAAGUGUCGGCUAACUACGUGCCAGCAGCCGCGGUAAUACGUAGGACACGAGCGUUAUCCGGAUUUACUGGGCGUAAAGCGCCUGUAGGCGGUUCUUCAAGUCGUUUGUGAAAGCCCUGGGCUCAACCUGGGGAGGUCAAGCGAUACUGGAGGACUUGAGGGUGACAGAGGGGAGUGGAAUUUCCGGUGUAGCGGUAAAAUGCGCAGAUAUCGGGAGGAACACCAGUGGCGAAGGCGGCUCCCUGGGUCACCCCUGACGCUGAGAGGCGAAAGCUAGGGGAGCAAACAG
RNAcentral lists this ribosomal RNA (404 nucleotides) under uncultured bacterium. RNAcentral's name for it is "bacterial SSU rRNA". It matches the Rfam family "Bacterial small subunit ribosomal RNA", at positions 355 to 775 of the family's 1533-position model. The record is from RNAcentral.